This is a non-coding RNA of Salmo salar (Atlantic salmon), 46 nucleotides long. NCBI's taxonomy places the organism in Eukaryota, Metazoa, Chordata, Actinopteri, Salmoniformes, Salmonidae. The record is from Rfam.
CCAAAGGCUCUUUUAAGAGCCACCCUCAUUGCAAUAAGAAUAUUCU